UCGGUGGACAGGUGGUGCAUGGUUGUCGUCAGCUCGUGUCGUGAGAUGUUCGGUUAAGUCCGCUAACGAGCGCAACCCUCGCUGUGUGUUACAAGUGUCACACGGAACUGCCGGUCAUAAACCGGAGGAAGUGGGGAUGACGUCAAGUCAGCAUGGCCUUUAUAUCCUGGGCUACACACACGCUACAAUGGGAAGGGACAAUAGGUUGCGAAGCCGCGAGGCGGAGCCAAUCCAGCAAAACUUCCCUCAGUUCAGAUUGCAGGCUGCAACCCGCCUGCAUGAAGUUGGAGUUGCUAGUAAACGCAGGUCAGCCAUACUGCGUUGAAUACGUUCCCGGGGCUU
This 342-nucleotide ribosomal RNA is filed under the name uncultured Anaerolineaceae bacterium. RNAcentral describes it as "bacterial SSU rRNA". It matches the Rfam family "Bacterial small subunit ribosomal RNA", at positions 1027 to 1382 of the family's 1533-position model. Lineage: Bacteria; Bacillati; Chloroflexota; Anaerolineae; Anaerolineales; Anaerolineaceae. The record is from RNAcentral.